AGUGAACGCUGGCGGUAGGCCUAACACAUGCAAGUCGAGCGGCAGCACAGUAAGAGCUUGCUCUUACGGGUGGCGAGUGGCGGACGGGUGAGGAAUACAUCGGAAUCUACUUUUUCGUGGGGGAUAACGUAGGGAAACUUACGCUAAUACCGCAUACGACCUACGGGUGAAAGCAGUGGAUCUUCGGACCUUGCGCGAUUGAAUGAGCCGCUGUCGGAUUGGCUAGUUGGGGGGGUAAAGGCCCACCAAGGCGACGAUCCGUAGCUGGUCUGAGAGGAUGAUCAGCCACACUGGAACUGAGACACGGUCCAGACUCCUACGGGAGGCAGCAGUGGGGAAUAUUGGACAAUGGGCGCAAGCCUGAUCCAGCCAUACCGCGUGGGUGAAGAAGGCCUUCGGGUUGUAAAGCCCUUUUGUUGGGAAAGAAAAGCAGCAGGUUAAUACCCCGCUGUUCUGACGGUACCCAAAGAAUAAGCACCGGCUAACUUCGUG
RNAcentral lists this ribosomal RNA (492 nucleotides) under uncultured bacterium. RNAcentral's name for it is "partial 16S ribosomal RNA". It matches the Rfam family "Bacterial small subunit ribosomal RNA", at positions 29 to 507 of the family's 1533-position model. The record is from RNAcentral.